UACGAAGGGUGCUAGCGUUGCUCGGAAUCACUGGGCGUAAAGCGCACGUAGGCGGAUUGUUAAGUCAGGGGUGAAAUCCUGGAGCUCAACUCCAGAACUGCCUUUGAUACUGGCGAUCUCGAGUUCGGGAGAGGUGAGUGGAACUGCGAGUGUAGAGGUGAAAUUCGUAGAUAUUCGCAAGAACACCAGUGGCGAAGGCGGCUCACUGGCCCGAUACUGACGCUGAGGUGCGAAAGCGUGGGGAGCAAACAGG
This 253-nucleotide ribosomal RNA is filed under the name uncultured bacterium. RNAcentral's name for it is "partial 16S ribosomal RNA". It matches the Rfam family "Bacterial small subunit ribosomal RNA", at positions 524 to 776 of the family's 1533-position model. The record is from RNAcentral.